This 946-nucleotide ribosomal RNA is filed under the name Triticum aestivum (bread wheat). Its description in RNAcentral is "partial small subunit ribosomal RNA". Lineage: Eukaryota; Viridiplantae; Streptophyta; Magnoliopsida; Poales; Poaceae. The record is from RNAcentral.
CCCACCCCAUCCCCACCCCACACGCGCACGCCACCGAUGCCAUUCCUCCACUUCCCCACUGCAAAAUCGUAUCGGCCGCCGCCGUUACCGCUACCGUCGCCAUGACAACACCGUCCCUCCUCUCCUCGCUCGCCACGCUCGGCCUCGGCUACUCCAUCGCCAUCGCGCUUGGCUUCCUCGUCCUCCUCGCUUCCGUCCUGCUUGCGUCCUACUUCUGCUUCCGACACGGCGAGAGCGCGGGCGGCCACUUCGCCGGCGCCAUCACGCCCACGUCCAGCUCCAGCCACCUGUCCAUCACCGUGCCGCGCGUGCUGUUCGUCGCCGAGGGGUCCGAGUCCCCCGAGGCCUACUCCUCGGCAGCCGCGGCCGCCUCGUCGCCAGUCGGGCUCGACCCCGCUGCCAUCGCGUCGUAUCCCAAGGCCCCCUUCUCCAGGGCCGCGGGCGGCGACGCCAUGUGUUCGAUCUGCCUCUCCGAGUACAUGGACGGCGAGAUGCUACGGCUGAUGCCCGAGUGCAGGCACAGGUUCCACGUCAUGUGCCUCGACGCCUGGCUGCGCAGGAGCGCGUCGUGCCCCGUUUGCAGAUCGUCCCCAAUCCCCACGCCCGUCACCACGCCGCUCGCGACGCCACUCUAGGAGCUCGUCCCGCUCUCGCAAUACGCCGCUGACCGGCGGCGCAGCAGGUGACGGGUAGUCUACAUGGGUGCACCUCGCUGCUCUUCAUUGUUACUCCUCUUUUUUCUUUUUGCGUUGAAAAGGGUUCUGUAAAUUUGUCGAUUGUAUGAUUGGUAAGGACACAUAAGGAGUUUUAGGUGCUAGUACGACUGGUGGUGUGCUUAGGAUUUGUAAAGAGUUGCUUGGUUCCCAUUACUAUUACUUCGAGAAAAUUUUGUAAUGUAGAAGUAGAUGACGGGUUUCUCGAAAAAAAAGUAGAUGUUGGAGCAAGG